AUUGAACGCUGGCGGCAGGCCUAACACAUGCAAGUCGAGCGGAUGAAGGGAGCUUGCUCCUGGAUUCAGCGGCGGACGGGUGAGUAAUGCCUAGGAAUCUGCCUGGUAGUGGGGGAUAACGUCCGGAAACGGGCGCUAAUACCGCAUACGUCCUGAGGGAGCAAGUGGGGGAUCUUCGGACCUCACGCUAUCAGAUGAGCCUAGGUCGGAUUAGCUAGUUGGUGGGGUAAAGGCCUACCAAGGCGACGAUCCGUAACUGGUCUGAGAGGAUGAUCAGUCACACUGGAACUGAGACACGGUCCAGACUCCUACGGGAGGCAGCAGUGGGGAAUAUUGGACAAUGGGCGAAAGCCUGAUCCAGCCAUGCCGAGUGUGUGAAGAAGGUCUUCGGAUUGUAAAGCACUUUAAGUUGGGAGGAAGGGCAGUAAGUUAAUACCUUGCUGUUUUGACGUUACCAACAGAAUAAGCACCGGCUAACUUCGUG
This 484-nucleotide ribosomal RNA is filed under the name uncultured bacterium. RNAcentral describes it as "partial 16S ribosomal RNA". It matches the Rfam family "Bacterial small subunit ribosomal RNA", at positions 30 to 507 of the family's 1533-position model. The record is from RNAcentral.